Molecule: unclassified non-coding RNA, 395 nt
Filed under: uncultured Glomus
Lineage: Eukaryota; Fungi; Glomeromycota; Glomeromycetes; Glomerales; Glomeraceae
Description: SSU rRNA
Rfam family: Eukaryotic small subunit ribosomal RNA
Source: RNAcentral
AGCAGCCGCGGUAAUUCCAGCUCCAAUAGCGUAUAUUAAAGUUGUUGCAGUUAAAAGCUCGUAGUUGAAUUUCGGGGUCUGUCCGUCGGUCGGGCUUCACGGUCCGUACUGGUGUGAUGGGUUCCUACCUUCUGAAUAGCCGGCAUGCCAUUCAUUUGGUGCGCCGGGGAAGCAGAGCUAUUACCUUGAAAAAUUGAGUGCUUAAAGCAGGCUAGUGCUUGAAUAGAUUAGCAUGGAAUAAUAAAAUAGGACGGCAUGGUUCUAUUUUGUUGGUUUCUAGGAUCACCGUAAUGAUUAAUAGGGAUAGUUGGGGGCAUUAGUAUUCAAUUGUCAGAGGUGAAAUUCUUGGAUUUAUUGAAGUACUAACUUCUGCGAAAGCAUUUGCCAAGGAUGUU